Dromaius novaehollandiae (emu) is the source of this 535-nucleotide long non-coding RNA. RefSeq lists it as uncharacterized. Lineage: Eukaryota; Metazoa; Chordata; Aves; Casuariiformes; Dromaiidae. The transcript is spliced from 3 exons. The record is from RefSeq and is a predicted model, not a curated record.
GCCAAAGAAAGGAAGAAGGAGCCCUGUCCCACGGAGGCUAUAAUCAGAUGAGGUGAACAAUAGAAGAGAGACACAAAGACAUUGCAGAGCUGAUGAUGACUUUAUCUCAAAAUCAGAGACCUGGAGAUUAAGAUGCAUCACCUCUACAUCAGAUUGCAUGGGUGAGAUUCACUAUCCCAAUGCCUGCAUUACUGAGAAGGACAACAUUUUUGAACAGUCCUCCGGAGAAGACUUCCUUUGCUGUGAACAACAACAAAAAUGGGAGCAGACGAGCCAAAGACCAGGGAAGGAUGACAGACUACAGCAGGCAGCAGCCUGAAACAGUGUCGGCGAAGCACGGCACACUGAAGGAGAACAAGUCUAUUUCGCUGCUUGAUGGAGUGACUCUCGCAGGCUCUGUAUCUUAAUUUUUCUUUUUUCCUGCUUGUCUAUCUUUUACUGUUUUUUUUUAUAAACCUCUGUGUGCUUGAUAUUCAAUCUCUCUCUCUUCCUCUCCAAAGAUAUUUUUGUACAAUGGUGAAUCAACUUACUCUCA